CUCUUAUUCAGAGUGGUGGAGGUAAAAGGACUGAUGAAGCCACGGCAACCCCUUGUCACGGACAGGAAGGUGCCAACCUGAGCGAGUAAUCGAACAAUAAGAG
RNAcentral lists this non-coding RNA (103 nucleotides) under Lachnospiraceae bacterium 2_1_46FAA. RNAcentral describes it as "SAM riboswitch aptamer (S box leader)". It matches the Rfam family "SAM riboswitch aptamer (S box leader)". Rfam says of the family: The SAM riboswitch is found upstream of a number of genes which code for proteins involved in methionine or cysteine biosynthesis in Gram-positive bacteria. The SAM riboswitch acts at the level of transcription termination control. The record is from Rfam by way of RNAcentral. Lineage: Bacteria; Bacillati; Bacillota; Clostridia; Lachnospirales; Lachnospiraceae. RNAcentral also lists the same sequence under 1 other name.